This 3113-nucleotide ribosomal RNA is filed under the name Salmonella enterica. RNAcentral describes it as "23S ribosomal RNA". It matches the Rfam family "Bacterial large subunit ribosomal RNA". Lineage: Bacteria; Pseudomonadati; Pseudomonadota; Gammaproteobacteria; Enterobacterales; Enterobacteriaceae. The record is from RNAcentral. RNAcentral also lists the same sequence under 2 other names.
GGGUUGUGAGGUUAAGCGACUAAGCGUACACGGUGGAUGCCCUGGCAGUCAGAGGCGAUGAAGGGCGUGCUAAUCUGCGAUAAGCGCCGGUAAGGUGAUAUGAACCGUUAUAACCGGCGAUACCCGAAUGGGGAAACCCAGUGUGAUUCGUCACACUAUCAUUAACUGAAUCCAUAGGUUAAUGAGGCGAACCGGGGGAACUGAAACAUCUAAGUACCCCGAGGAAAAGAAAUCAACCGAGAUUCCCCCAGUAGCGGCGAGCGAACGGGGAGGAGCCCAGAGCCUGAAUCAGCAUGUGUGUUAGUGGAAGCGUCUGGAAAGGCGCGCGAUACAGGGUGACAGCCCCGUACACAAAAGCGCAUGUGCUGUGAGCUCGAUGAGUAGGGCGGGACACGUGGUAUCCUGUCUGAAUAUGGGGGGACCAUCCUCCAAGGCUAAAUACUCCUGACUGACCGAUAGUGAACCAGUACCGUGAGGGAAAGGCGAAAAGAACCCCGGCGAGGGGAGUGAAAAAGAACCUGAAACCGUGUACGUACAAGCAGUGGGAGCCCCACCACCAAAGCAUUCUCUGGUGUUGAAGGCCCUGCAAAGCAGCAUCGCGGUGGCGGAGCGUCGUUUGCGACGCCCAACGCACAAAACAAGCGGUGAGUGCUUUGGGGUGGGGUGACUGCGUACCUUUUGUAUAAUGGGUCAGCGACUUAUAUUCUGUAGCAAGGUUAACCGAAUAGGGGAGCCGGAGGGAAACCGAGUCUUAAUUGGGCGUUAAGUUGCAGGGUAUAGACCCGAAACCCGGUGAUCUAGCCAUGGGCAGGUUGAAGGUUGGGUAACACUAACUGGAGGACCGAACCGACUAAUGUUGAAAAAUUAGCGGAUGACCUGUGGCUGGGGGUGAAAGGCCAAUCAAACCGGGAGAUAGCUGGUUCUCCCCGAAAGCUAUUUAGGUAGCGCCUCGUGAAUUCAUCUCCGGGGGUAGAGCACUGUUUCGGCUAGGGGGCCAUCCCGGCUUACCAACCCGAUGCAAACUGCGAAUACCGGAGAAUGUUAUCACGGGAGACACACGGCGGGUGCUAACGUCCGUCGUGAAGAGGGAAACAACCCAGACCGCCAGCUAAGGUCCCAAAGUCAUGGUUAAGUGGGAAACGAUGUGGGAAGGCCCAGACAGCCAGGAUGUUGGCUUAGAAGCAGCCAUCAUUUAAAGAAAGCGUAAUAGCUCACUGGUCGAGUCGGCCUGCGCGGAAGAUGUAACGGGGCUAAACCAUGCACCGAAGCUGCGGCAGCGAACGUAUCACCCAAGACAACUUUACGGAGUUGACGAUUGACGGAGCGAAGCGACGUCAAAGCGUUCAUUAAAGUCGAGUUGGCUUAGGGAUACGUUCGUUGGGUAGGGGAGCGUUCUGUAAGCCUGCGAAGGUGGCCUGUGAGGGUUGCUGGAGGUAUCAGAAGUGCGAAUGCUGACAUAAGUAACGAUAAAGCGGGUGAAAAGCCCGCUCGCCGGAAGACCAAGGGUUCCUGUCCAACGUUAAUCGGGGCAGGGUGAGUCGACCCCUAAGGCGAGGCCGAAAGGCGUAGUCGAUGGGAAACGGGUUAAUAUUCCCGUACUUGGUGUUACUGCGAAGGGGGGACGGAGAAGGCUAUGUUGGCCGGGCGACGGUUGUCCCGGUUUAAGCGUGUAGGUGUGUGUUCCAGGUAAAUCCGGUUCACUUUAACACUGAGGCGUGAUGACGAGGCACUACGGUGCUGAAGCAACAAAUGCCCUGCUUCCAGGAAAAGCCUCUAAGCAUCAGGUAACAUCAAAUCGUACCCCAAACCGACACAGGUGGUCAGGUAGAGAAUACCAAGGCGCUUGAGAGAACUCGGGUGAAGGAACUAGGCAAAAUGGUGCCGUAACUUCGGGAGAAGGCACGCUGACACGUAGGUGAAGUGAUUUACUCAUGGAGCUGAAGUCAGUCGAAGAUACCAGCUGGCUGCAACUGUUUAUUAAAAACACAGCACUGUGCAAACACGAAAGUGGACGUAUACGGUGUGACGCCUGCCCGGUGCCGGAAGGUUAAUUGAUGGGGUCAGCGCAAGCGAAGCUCCUGAUCGAAGCCCCGGUAAACGGCGGCCGUAACUAUAACGGUCCUAAGGUAGCGAAAUUCCUUGUCGGGUAAGUUCCGACCUGCACGAAUGGCGUAAUGAUGGCCAGGCUGUCUCCACCCGAGACUCAGUGAAAUUGAACUCGCUGUGAAGAUGCAGUGUACCCGCGGCAAGACGGAAAGACCCCGUGAACCUUUACUAUAGCUUGACACUGAACAUUGAGCCUUGAUGUGUAGGAUAGGUGGGAGGCUUUGAAGUGUGGACGCCAGUCUGCAUGGAGCCGACCUUGAAAUACCACCCUUUAAUGUUUGAUGUUCUAACGUGGACCCGUUACCCGGGUUGCGGACAGUGUCUGGUGGGUAGUUUGACUGGGGCGGUCUCCUCCUAAAGAGUAACGGAGGAGCACGAAGGUUGGCUAAUCCUGGUCGGACAUCAGGAGGUUAGUGCAAUGGCAUAAGCCAGCUUGACUGCGAGCGUGACGGCGCGAGCAGGUGCGAAAGCAGGUCAUAGUGAUCCGGUGGUUCUGAAUGGAAGGGCCAUCGCUCAACGGAUAAAAGGUACUCCGGGGAUAACAGGCUGAUACCGCCCAAGAGUUCAUAUCGACGGCGGUGUUUGGCACCUCGAUGUCGGCUCAUCACAUCCUGGGGCUGAAGUAGGUCCCAAGGGUAUGGCUGUUCGCCAUUUAAAGUGGUACGCGAGCUGGGUUUAGAACGUCGUGAGACAGUUCGGUCCCUAUCUGCCGUGGGCGCUGGAGAACUGAGGGGGGCUGCUCCUAGUACGAGAGGACCGGAGUGGACGCAUCACUGGUGUUCGGGUUGUCAUGCCAAUGGCACUGCCCGGUAGCUAAAUGCGGAAGAGAUAAGUGCUGAAAGCAUCUAAGCACGAAACUUGCCCCGAGAUGAGUUCUCCCUGAGACUUAGAGUCUCCUGAAGGAACGUUGAAGACGACGACGUUGAUAGGCCGGGUGUGUAAGCGCAGCGAUGCGUUGAGCUAACCGGUACUAAUGAACCGUGAGGCUUAACCUUACAACGCCGAAG